This 445-nucleotide ribosomal RNA is filed under the name uncultured bacterium. RNAcentral's name for it is "partial 16S ribosomal RNA". It matches the Rfam family "Bacterial small subunit ribosomal RNA", at positions 354 to 796 of the family's 1533-position model. The record is from RNAcentral.
GUAAGGAAUAUUGGUCAAUGGACGAAAGUCUGAACCAGCCAUGCCGCGUGGAGGAUGAAGGUCCUCUGGAUUGUAAACUUCUUUUAUAUGGGACGAAAAUGGGGCUUUCUAGCUCAACUGACGGUACCAUAUGAAUAAGCACCGGCUAACUCCGUGCCAGCAGCCGCGGUAAUACGGAGGGUGCAAGCGUUAUCCGGAUUCACUGGGUUUAAAGGGUGCGUAGGUGGAUUGGUAAGUCAGAGGUGAAAUCUCCGGGCUCAACUCGGAAACUGCCUUUGAUACUAUCAAUCUUGAAUAUUGUGGAGGUUAGCGGAAUAUGUCAUGUAGCGGUGAAAUGCUUAGAUAUGACAUAGAACACCAAUUGCGAAGGCAGCUGGCUACACAUAUAUUGACACUGAGGCACGAAAGCGUGGGGAUCAAACAGGAUUAGAAACCCGAGUAGUCC